Molecule: ribosomal RNA, 450 nt
Filed under: uncultured bacterium
Lineage: Bacteria
Description: partial 16S ribosomal RNA
Rfam family: Bacterial small subunit ribosomal RNA
Source: RNAcentral
GUGGGGAAUCUUCCGCAAUGGACGAAAGUCUGACGGAGCGACGCCGCGUGAGUGAAGAAGGCCUUCGGGUCGUAAAGCUCUGUCAUCAGGGACGAACGGCCGGAGGAGUGGAAAGCCACCGGAUUGACGGUACCUGAGAAGGAAGCCACGGCUAACUACGUGCCAGCAGCCGCGGUAAUACGUAGGUGGCAAGCGUUGUCCGGAAUGAUUGGGCGUAAAGCGCGCGGAGGUGGGAUCUUAAGUCCAUUUUUAAAGUUCGGAGCUCAACUCGGUGAUGGGAUGGAAGCUGGGCUUCUUGAGUACCGGAGAGGAAAGCGGAAUUCCCCGUGUAGCGGUGAAAUGCGUAGAUAUGGGGAGGAACACCAGUGGCGAAGGCGGCUUUCUGGACGGUGUCUGACACUGAGGCGCGAAAGCCAGGGGAGCGAACGGGAUUAGAAACCCCGGUAGUCC